Long non-coding RNA from Pungitius pungitius (ninespine stickleback), 5232 nucleotides. RefSeq lists it as uncharacterized. NCBI's taxonomy places the organism in Eukaryota, Metazoa, Chordata, Actinopteri, Perciformes, Gasterosteidae. The record is from RefSeq and is a predicted model, not a curated record. The transcript is spliced from 4 exons.
GGCACACUAUUGCGCGCACACACAGACACGUGCGCAUACACAGGAGAGCUGCGCUCUCCAGCGGACACAGAGCGUGAGUCCGCAACUACCGCACCCCUCCCGUCGGACAGCCCCCCACUGAAGUAUUAAACAGAGGGUGUAACGACGUUCCUUCGGUGCUGUUCGCCAUUAAGCCACAUUGAGCUGCAGACACGUGACUCCAUUUCUUCACGCAAAUGACGGCAGAUCGUUUGAUUCUUUUCGUCUUUAUUUUACACAGCAUAGCGUUAACUAAACAUAGAAAUAAUAAUAAAUUCUAUCACAUGGUGGAUAAACAAUAUGCUCUUUUGCUUAAUCAGAAAUAAUUUUAAAUGCACCGGUUUAGCACCGAAAAACCCCCCGAUACCAAUCCCUACUCUCCUCAAAGGUUACUGACAUCUUGUGGUUAACAGCCAAUCGUGUAUUUGGAUAAAACACAAUUAGUUGAGACUGUAGUUGAUUGAGGGUUUCAAGGUUUAAAUUAGUUUUGUUUUUACAGAAGCAUGGCGUAAUCAUCUCAAUAAACGAGAGCCAACUUUGGUUGCUGUGAAUCUGAUCUAGAAGACAGCGUUCUGCAAAAUAGUCAAGCUGUUUGACAUCUCUUAACACGAGAAACGAUAAAAGAAAUAAAAAGAAAAUUGAAUGAGUCUGAUUAAUGUUUUCUGUUUUGAUUCAAAGAAUCUUAAGAAAAACCCUUUAGAUUUGUAAACUACUGCCUAAUAGUCUCAUUACUGCCAUUUUAUGGCAAUUACAUAUACAUCCAAAUAUAGUCCAAAUAAGUAUAUUUAAUCGUUUUAACAAAGGUAUUAUGUUAUUUCACUAGUUUAAUGAAAAAAUGCCGCCAAUUUUUUGAUAAAACAACCCUGCUUUUCAGUUAGUGGGGGCAAGUGCGUAACAAUGCAUUCUUUAGGAAAUAUUGAGAAAAUACCAAUCUAACCCCCCCAAUAUACAUGGUUACGCCCUUGAAUGGGGCCUAAAUAUUAUGUGAAUUUCCUACCCUGCUAUGGCAUGACAUAUUAUGCAGCACGAUAAAGUGUCAUUAAUGUCUACAUUGAAUCAACGGUGCUAGAAUAUUUGGUGUUUGGUUGUCCUCCCCCAAAGCCCAUAUAUAUGGAUAACUUGCCAACGAUAUAAACUAUUUGACAAAAGUAUAUAGAUAACACUGCAAUAAGUAAGACAAAUCUUUCGAUAUGAGACAGGCUGUCUCAGUUGAGUUGGGGUCUGAUAGGCGCAGAUACGAAGACAAUUGGUUGAAGUUGUCAACAUCAAAGGGGGCUGACUUUGGCAGUCUAGAAAGCUUUUGGAAUACACCCUGAAACCAGAGAUGGGGAUGGUGAGAAGAAAUUCAGUCUGAAGAAGAGUAAAUGGGAUUGGGUCAAGGGUGUAUGUGGUGAGGCAGUUAGACUACAUACUGAAACCUCUUGUGAAGCAACAUAAGGCCUCCUGAUGGUAUCAGCCCCAGGGUGCUGAAGACCUGCGCCAUCCAGCUGUCUAAAGCCCACCAACAUCUCCUUAUUCUGAACCUAAAGCAGCAGGCAGUCCCGAUGCUGUAGGAGACACCGUGGCCUCAAUGACCACUGACUAGUUGCCCUCACAUCCCAUGUGAUGAAGGUGCUGGAGAGGCUGCUCUUGACCCACCUUCAAGCCCAGAUAAAAUCAUCACCGGGCCCUCUGCAAUUUGCAUUGCCUUAUGUGGGAGUGGAUGACGCCAUCAUCUACCUGCUGCCACGAGCCCAGUCGCACCUGGAUGGUGGCUCUAUCCCUUUCUUUGACUUCUCCAAUCAGUGAUUCUGGCGCUUCACAGUUCUGUGUACCUUGUACACAACUCACUUCAGUUAGGGCAGCUCCGACCGCUGGGCGCUACAUGACUUGUAAAAAUAAAUGCUGCAGCCUGCCGAAGAGCAACGUCAGUUUUUACGGCAUAAUGCCGGUAUGAACAGUGCGUGAGUUACCGUAAAACCUUGAUUAAAGACUACAUAGAAGACUGUAAAAAUUGUCAGCCCCUCCCCACUCUUUAUUCUUAAACCGGAAAUAUGAUCAUUAGCGCCUAAAAGAACGUUUUGUGUAUUCUUGUGUGAGUACUACACUUUUGAAUGCUAUUUCCCAUUCUAAAUUCAUAAUUUAUGUCUGCACAUAUAAAUACUUGUUCUGAAUACAAGGGCUUGUAAAUGUAGUAGUUGUAGUUUUUAUUCUUAAAAUAUCAAUGUUUGUCUACAUUUUUAAUUGUUCAAAAAUGCUUCCAGUUUUAUUAGAAAUUAAAUAAAAUACAUAUUAAAAUGUAUACUUAAUUCUAGUUGAGUAAUAUCGUCUCAACUUCACCAGGUAUUUUAUGUAAUCCUUCGGUUUUAGUAAUUACUAUUACCCUUCUACGUUAUUAACAAGGCCCAGCAGAACAGGCUGAGCCCCAAUGCUCCCUCAAGCUAAUGGUGACUGAAGGAGUGGGGGGAUGGGCGAGGGUACGGUGGGGACAGUCAAUGUCAGGUUUUGUGUUAAGAACCUUAAGUUUCGUUUCUUUACACAAAACCGAACUGUUACCAUCCACGUGGGGUCCUCGGUCUGGCCACGCCCCCACCAAGCACCUGCUACCGUCCAUUUCCCUCAGACUGCCGAGCAGCAGACAACGUGACGGUGCUGGCUGCAGAAGCUGGAUAGAAAUGGUGAGUUUUUAAUUAUUGGACUAGCUUCUAAUGUAAAACAGUGCUUUUUACGUUUACUUUGAUACUAUUAAUAUAUGUACUGCCAUAUAAAAUGAGCUGUUGCAAUGUGCUAAACUCAACUUAGAUGGGAAGCUAAUGUUAGCUAACAAUAAGCAAGCAUGUGCAACUAGCACCACAAAUAGUGCUGUUAAGUUUACUUUGAUACUAUUUUCAUAUAUACUGCCAUAUAAAAUGAGCUGUUGCAAUGUGUUAAACUCAACUUAAAUGGACAGCUAAUGUUAGCUAACAAUAAGCAAGCAUGUGCAAGCAGCAGCAUGUGCACGCGUUGUGAAAUAGAAUGCUGGACAGCUAAUUAGUUAUUUAUUAUAUACUUUAUAAAUAUAUUCAUGUUUUAUCAAUAUCUUUUCACACAUAAUGUGAAUAUUAUGCUCAACAAAGGGAGUGUAAUACUUAAUCUGCGUUAAGACCUGGAUUAUAACUAAUUUCCCUUUAACCAUUUUAAGUAUCCUUACGUUGGCUUUUGGGCCUAUAACACUUAAUAAGCAGUUUUCCAUUUGCCCAAAGAGUGAUUGUAAUAUCUACCCAUGUAUAAAUAGGCAUUUUAAUUCAGAUUGUCAUAGGUAUUGAGAUAGAUAAUAUAAUGUUUGUCGUUAAGAACAGAAGUAGAUGUUGUUACUAUAAUGCAUUCCAUAACAGAUAAACUUAAUUCAUUUCAUUAAAAAAAAAAAAAAAGAGUACUGUAAUGAGUUGGAUGUAUAGCUUUGGCUGAAUGUGUCCCUUGUGCUUUUAGGAGGAUGGAGCAUGUUUGCCAUCCAGUAGUGACAGCUCGAAGUGCACAGAUGCUGAUGUCGGAGAAAUGAAGGAGCCUUUGACCGUGAACAUACUAACCAGGUAGUUCCGAUGAAAAGAUGCUGCUGGCUGGAGAGGUCUGGUGAAUCUCACACAAAAAAGGGUCACCACAAACAAAGAAGAAGUGGACCAAAGAGGAAAUCGAAGCUGUUGAAAGGACCUUAAUGGACUACAUCAAUGGUGGUCAGUGGUCAGAAAUGCAUCACAACAUCGUCACUGGCCGAUCAAGGGAUGAGUUGUCAAAAUAUAUAUUAAAAACUGAAUUUAAAAGAAUUAAAAAAAAGGUAAGCCGCAUUUUCAUCAGAUGGAAGAUUAAAUUCCUGGUGGACUGCCAGCACGUUUACAGACAUUGUUUACAGUAGUCUUAUUGCUCCCUGUUCUGUAAUUGUUAACUUUAUAUAAUAUUUGAAAGUUGAUGAUGAUGCUUUAAACUGCAUAGUUUUAAAAAAAUAAAGAUGCAAUAUAUCAAACAAUAUUAUAGAGUGGGGUUUAAUAUACAUAGAUAAUGAGUCAUUAUACAAUGAUAAUGAGUCAUUAUACAAUUAUAACAUUCAAUGGUGUAUAUAUUCAGCAUGAAUUGACAAAAUAUGUAUUAAGUGCCUUAGAGUUUCUAAAAAGUACCCUUUAUUGAGUACCUUACCUUGUUUGAGACACAUUUUGAACACUGCCCCCUGGUGUGAUUUUGUAUUAUGACAUAAUUGGACGGUCCCCACCGGAAUAGAGAAACCAGAAAAAUAUUCAACUCUAUAAAUUUGUGAAAUUUUGAGAUUUAAGGUGAUAUUGGGGUUUGAAAAAAAUUAAGGAAAAUGAUUUGAUUGAAAGUAUGCCAUUAUUCUGUUAAAAAAAAUGAGGUCCCCACGCUUCACCUCUGUGCAUAAGUCCCCACCGGCAUAGAAGAACCCGUCUGUGUGUGUGUGCGUGUGUGUGUGUGUGUGUGUGUGUGUGUGUGUGUGUGCCUCCAUGUCUGCUGACAGUAACCUACUUUUAUGGAGCCCACUCACUCAGAAUGAUAAAAAAUACUGCAAUUCUCCCUCCUCUCUCUCCGCCGGUCUCCUCCUCCACCUCCUAUCUUCUUCUCGUCCUCCCCACUCCUCCCUCCAUCUUCUCUCCUCAUCCUCAUCUGCUCCUUCAUCGUCUUUGGUUCCUCUUCCCUUUCUCUUUCUACAUCCAUUGUUUAUUUCUAUCCCUCGAUCCAUCAUUCCUCCUUUGCUUUCUCUCCUUUUCUCCCUCGUGUUCACUCCCUCGCUCCUACUCUUCCUCCCUUGUCUCCCCCUCAGUACCUCCUCAUCCCCCCCACUUCUGCACUCAAUUCUUGUCCCUUCCUUUGUACUGUUGUGUUCCUCCGUUCUCCCUCGCUUUGAUGCGGAUGCUGCAGCCGUCGGGCCGGCUGGGUUCAGAGUGAAGGAUGGAGGGAGCGAGAGAGAAGGAAAGGGAACAAGGGAAUGACAGAAGGGAAAGUAAGGACGGAAGACGAGGUCGCAGAGAGUAUAUCUUCCGGCACAACUGGUCUAUAUUAAGAGGAAAGAGGACGAGAUGAAGAUGAUGCAGCGAAGUGAUGCUGCUGGACAUUUAAACUAAAGAGGAAAGUUGGUUUUGAGAUUUGGUUGAGGUGAACUUUUACUUGUUUACUCUUACUUUGCUGUCCCUUGUGAUUCACACAACAUUAUACCAGCUGUCAGACUAGUUGACCACCUGACAAGAAGCCCCC